GAAAAUGGCAGUUAGGAGGAAGUGAGCACAGAGCUUCAGCAAAGGAUGCUGGGACCUGUAGUUUAUAGACAGCGUGUGGUGAAGGGAACAAGUAGGAGGGCAGAAAGGUGUAUAAGAGCCGCAUACAGGAGAUACAAAGAAUAUCCUUCUUUACCAUAUUCUUCCACACUGAAUGUUUCCACUGUGUCCUUCACUCGGACUGAAUAUUCUCCCAGCUGAGGCUCAGAGGAGAGAGGAAGCGAGAGCUCAGCAAUUCCCUGUCUCAGACUCACAUUCAGCCACUGACCGAUUAGGUUCUUCUCUGGAUCCUGAUACAAAGAAAAUCAAAUCCAUCAUGACGAGUGAUCUCCAACCUAUGGCUCAACCUAUGCCCUGAUAUCUAUAAGCAAUGCAAUGCAUGCAAGUGAGAGCAUAUACAAGCAUAGAGAUGUGAAUAUGUAGACAAAAUACUAACCAGCGAUUCCAACCAAUGGGACAGGCCACUACCUACAUAUUAUAGAUACAUACCAUCCAACUGUACUUUUUUCUAGAACUUAUAUUAGUUUUAUAUUACCAUAUAGCCCAAGAGAUGCCGCCAUUUUCCUGCUGAUUCCUCCUUUUCAAAAAUGUUUAUAUUAUAUUAUGCACUUGUUUAUCUAAAUAUAUAUAUA
This is a long non-coding RNA of Hyla sarda, 650 nucleotides long. RefSeq lists it as uncharacterized. The transcript is spliced from 2 exons. NCBI's taxonomy places the organism in Eukaryota, Metazoa, Chordata, Amphibia, Anura, Hylidae. The record is from RefSeq and is a predicted model, not a curated record.